RNAcentral lists this ribosomal RNA (426 nucleotides) under uncultured Zoogloea sp. Its description in RNAcentral is "bacterial SSU rRNA". It matches the Rfam family "Bacterial small subunit ribosomal RNA", at positions 356 to 774 of the family's 1533-position model. The record is from RNAcentral. Lineage: Bacteria; Pseudomonadati; Pseudomonadota; Betaproteobacteria; Rhodocyclales; Zoogloeaceae.
GGGGAAUUUUGGACAAUGGGCUCAAGCCUGAUCCAGCCAUGCCGCGUGAGUUAAGAAGGCCUUCGGGUUGUAAAGCUCUUUCAGACGUAAAGAAAUCUCUCGGGAUAACACCCUGGGAGUAUGACGGUACCGUAAGAAGAAGCACCGGCUAACUACGUGCCAGCAGCCGCGGUAAUACGUAGGGUGCGAGCGUUAAUCGGAAUUACUGGGCGUAAAGCGUGCGCAGGCGGUGAUGUAAGACAGAUGUGAAAUCCCCGGGCUCAACCUGGGAACUGCGUUUGGGAAUGCAUAACUCGAGUACGGCAGAGGGAGGUGGAAGUCCGCGUGUAGCAGUGAAAUGCGUAGAUAUGCGGAGGAACACCGAUGGCGAAGGCAGCCUCCUGGGCCAGUACUGACGCUCAUGCACGAAAGCGUGGGGAGCAAACA